GGAUCGUGGCUUGGUGGUAGAGUGCUCGCCUAGCAUGCAUGAGGCACUGGGUUCAAUCCUCAGCACCA
RNAcentral lists this transfer RNA (68 nucleotides) under Marmota monax (woodchuck). RNAcentral's name for it is "tRNA.Ala". Lineage: Eukaryota; Metazoa; Chordata; Mammalia; Rodentia; Sciuridae. The record is from RNAcentral.